AUGUAUACAUACUUUAUAGAUAUAUAUACUUUAUACUCUGCGUAUAAGAAACUAUAAGGAACAAGCAUAUGAGCGAGCACAGGCAAGAGGAGGAGGAGAGAUGAGAAGAACAGAAAACUUAUCGGAUUUGUUAUUCCCAUCACCACUUAAGGGUGGCAAUAAUUACAUCCAUAUUUUGAGCAUUUCGAUUUGAAAGCGAACCGAUCCGACGCGCUCGACAGACCUCGCAGCGGAAUAUGUACACGUGUAUGUAUGUAUGUAUGUAUGUAUGUGUAUGCCUGCCGGGACAUGUUUUCCCCUGCAGAGGCCAACAAGAGGUGUCCAGCAGGCCAGGACGGAUGACUGAAAGGAUGGGGGAGAAAUGGUACGCCAGUGGAUGGAGAAGAGGAUUUGAGAGAAGAACCGAAGGAGUUGCACAAACAAUAACCUUGCCGACGAACUCGAUAUUUUUUAGACUAAAUUUGAUUUCUGUUUUUAUUCUUUCCGUCUUUUCUUGCCAGGUGGUCCCAGGGCAAUGAUAAACCACCAGUCGAGUGAAAUAUAACACAGAAAACCGACCAACGAUUUUCUUAACUAAUUCUCAUAGCCAUAUCGAACUUUUCUUGAUAGAUCUGGCGCUCCACAAAUAUAAAUUACCUAUGGUUUUUAUGGUAAGUGUUGUAUCUAAAAGAGAUUGUCUUUAUGUUUAGGGCUUUAUUUGGCAAAAAAAAAUUUGUUUAUUCUGUUUUUCGUUUUUCAAAAGGGAAACUUGCGUGUUUCCAUUCCAAAAUUGGACCUAAAAGCUCAGAAAAAUCCAAAAUUAAUAAGAUGAUAUUUUAUUGGCAUUGGUAUUGGUACGCGUUGUAGGCGUCGUAUUGUAACAUAUACCAAAAUCACACUUGGUCACACUUGGUCACACUUGGGUCAUAUCGUUCGGUAACUCUAUCCCGAAUAGUACUUACUUUCCAUGGAAUACGACCGUUUACUCUUUUAAGUCAAAUUUAACAUAUUUGUUUAAUUAGUUAACAGAGACCUGUUAACUUGUGUCUAGCCGGUAGGCAGAGUAACUAACUACGAGUACGAGUAUAUGUACAUAUGUAUGUAGUGUGUAUGCACAAAUACCCUUGCAGUUCGACGUCCAGCAAAAUGGAAUUAUACUAAUUUGAAGUCCACUAGGUCACAGUAACAACUUUAGCAACUCAAUCUCCCAUACCUGCAUUUAGAUUCAGAUCGCGAUCAUCAUCAGACUCUUCUAAUCUUCCGAUUCCUUUCGGAUAAGCCAGGAUCAAUUUGCAGCGAAUCCCCAAUGGGGACUCCCCAUGCGGGUACAUUUCCACGGCAUCCCUUUCUAACGAGCGCAGGCCCUCUCCCUCCCGCACGCGCUCACAUCCCUAAUGCGGUUCUGCUCUGACGACAACGCAUUUGUGAGGACACGACUACCAACAACGCAGUAUAAUGACCUGGAAGCAACGGGAGAUGUCGUCGUCAACUCUGCGACGCUGAAGGCUGUCCGCCUUUCCUUCCGCCUGUUCGUCAAAGCCAAUAUAAAACGCAAUUAGAGCCUUGGGACUCAGUGUGAGAGAGUGUGAGAGAGUGCGAGAGCUAAGCCCCUCUGCCAUAGAAGACAAUCGAUGCAGCAGCAGCAGGCAGCCUAUCCUUAUCAUCACCAUCAUUAUCAUUGCACCCGUGAACCAAAAAAUUGUGGAGGAGGAGGAGGAGUAGGAAGGGGUAUACUUUCUGCAGCUAAUUUCUCGCAAAAUAUUGGGUAUCUGGCGGAAGAAUUGUACCCUAAGGAGGAUACAUACGCUUGACUGGACUUUCCCUAUCACAUUCUGGCGGGUAUUGGAUAGAUGGAUUUUCCAGGGUAUCCCCAUCCGGAUUUUUAGAUGGAUUGCACUUACCGGGCGUUUGCUGUCGUCUAACAUAACACUCAGGACUUUUUUCUACCACCAACACGCACACGCACACGCACUUAUUCAAUCGACCUCCCCUACCGUUUUCCAUUUUCCCCCCGUACCCCGUACCCCGUACCAUCUGGUUGCCCAGCAAUCACGGGGAUUAAUUAGUUUAAGUGCGUCCCGUGUACCGUCCCGGGUAAGUAGUGCAUGUACGAGUACGUAGUACAUACAUACAUACAUAUGUAUGCAUAUGUGUGAUGCUUAGAACUUGUGGACAUGGCUGGUGAUAUUAUUUACAAGCAUUUCAAUUGAUUUAGUGCGAACGGGAAGCUUUUAAUGCAUGCAGAGUGUUUGCUACAUCUCCAGCUCCACUGCCCUCUGAACGGGCAGCUUGCUUUGGUGCACAGCUCUCUUGGGCGGACAUACAGUAUGUCAAGAAACUCUUUACACACAGAAAAUGAAUUUAAUUGUUUGACUUCGGAUAAGAAAGUAAUGGCCUUUGAUUCAAAUUUAUACAAUUUUUUAACUCAUAACGAUUCAGUGCAACAAAAAAAUAACAAAACUAUAAAUAGGUAACUUACAGAACAACAAAAACAAUGAUUACUCAUUUCUGACACUGUCAAGAAACUCUUUACACAUUUCGUUUUCGAGCUUUGUUUUGAUCUCGUUCUUAGAAAAAAGUGACUUUACCGUAAACUUUUGUUUGCUUUUGGCGUUGCUCAGUGCUGCCCUAUUUUUGCAUUGCCUUUGAUUUGGUUGCGAAAUUUUGACUUGACUUGCUUGUGUCGCACGCAACAGCACGCCAGGCCAUUCUACGUCAUAGGUACUCUUCCAGAGUUGCACAAAAAAAACCGCAGCUUUCGUCGGUGGGAUAACCGAAACGUCAUUGCGACUGUAAAGUUUGGAAAACUUUCGGCAAUGAUUUGGGGGUGUUUCUCUAGCCGGGGAGUGGGCAAUAUAGCAUUUAUAGAGAACACGAUGGAUGCCAAACAGUAAAAU
Molecule: long non-coding RNA, 2876 nt
Organism: Drosophila pseudoobscura
Lineage: Eukaryota; Metazoa; Arthropoda; Insecta; Diptera; Drosophilidae
Exons: 2
Source: RefSeq, a predicted model, not a curated record